RNAcentral lists this long non-coding RNA (235 nucleotides) under Capsicum annuum. Its description in RNAcentral is "long non-coding RNA (CANN_LNC017579)". Lineage: Eukaryota; Viridiplantae; Streptophyta; Magnoliopsida; Solanales; Solanaceae. The record is from RNAcentral.
AUGUCAUGCUUGUCAAGAUGAUUUCAAAAAAUUCAUAUCAUAUGAAAAUUUCAAACAAUUUCAUAUCAAGAGAGGGCUUUCAUAUAAUGCAUGCUCUCAAGUUAACAUCUUUUGAAUCACAAGCAUAUGCAUAUAUAAUAUAUCAAAUCACUUCGGAAAUAGGCCUAAAAACUAAAUCAAUAUCAUAAAGAUGCUUGAAACAUGUUUAUAUUCAUAAUUUCAAAACCCCCAUUUU